RNAcentral lists this long non-coding RNA (2932 nucleotides) under Papio anubis (olive baboon). RNAcentral's name for it is "lncRNA (ENSPANG00000039357.1)". Lineage: Eukaryota; Metazoa; Chordata; Mammalia; Primates; Cercopithecidae. The record is from RNAcentral.
GUCUAGUUGGAGACAUCAGUUAACGGAUAAUCACAACAAUCCAGGAAAUGAAGAUUUAGACUUGGAUCUAGACGGAGAUUAGACCACUGGAUCAGUGGUCAAAGGGAACCAGAUUGAGGCUAAAGAAAAUGAGAAAUUACUAUGAUAAAAAUGGGAAGCAAAGAGUGGCAGAGUGAAGACUUAAAGUCAGUUUGCUGUAGUCAUCACAUAGAAUGUAAUAAAUUGGUGAGGUGGGGAGAGAAAAGGACAAUUAUGUUGUUUCUUUAACUGUGGCAGAAUGACUUUUCUCCAGUUUUUUAAUGCUAAAACACAGAGUAUGUCUCUGUGCUGUGCAGUGGAAGGUCAUGAGGUAGAAAUGGCAAAGAAUAAAGUACAUCACUCGAAGGUCUUCUGAAUAGGCAUUUGCUUCCCUCUUAAACAAAUACACUCUUUAAGAUAUACUGAGAAGACCAAGAUUAAGGUACUAGAAGAUUCAAUAUUGUAUUAGUUCAUUUUCGUAUUGCUACCUGAGACUGGCUAAUUUACUAAAAAAAAAAAAAAAAGGUUUAAUUGGCUCACAGUUCCACAGGCUGUAUAAGAAGCAUGAUUGGGGAGGCCUCAGAAAACUCACAAUCAUGGUGGAAGAUGAAAAGGAAGAAGGCUCAUCCUACAUGGCUGGAGGAGGAGGAAGAGAGAGCAAAGGGGGAGGUGUCACACACUUUCAUACAACCAGAUCUCAUGAGAUCAGGAGAUCGAAACCAUCCUGGCUAACACGGUGAAACCCCGUCUCUACUAAAAAUAUAGAAAAUUAGCCGGGCGUGGUGGCGGGCACCUGUGGUCCCAGCUACUCGGGAGGCUGAGGCAGGAGAAUGGCGUGAACCUGGGAGGUGGAGCUUGCAGUGAGCCGAGGUGGCGCCGCUGCCCUCCAGUCUGGGCGACAGAGCGAGACUCCGUCUCAAAAAAAAAAAAAAAGACUUACUAUAAAGUGAGAAUAAUCCAGUGUACAACUGACACAGCAAAGACAUACAGAUAAAAGAAACAGAUAGGAAAUAUAGAAACAGAUCCACAAAUAUAUGACAAACCGAACUUUGACAAAAGUGCCAAUAUAUUUAAAUACGAAUUUUUUUCAACAAAAGAUACUGGAACAAUGAGACAUCCAUAUGGAUGUGACCUCUGUCUCACACCUUAUACAAAACUUAAAUCAAAAUGUAUCAGGGAUAAAAAGUUAAAGCUAAAACUGUAAAACUUCUAGAAAAAAACAUGGGCUAAGAUUCUUCACAUUUUUGAAGUAGGCAAAGAUUUUUGGAUAGAGCACAAAACAAAACCAUAAAGAAAAAAAUUAGUAAACUGGUCUUCAUCAAAUUUUAAAUUUUCUGCUGGGGAGUGAGGGAUAAAAGACUACGAAUUGGGGUUCACUGUAUACUGGUUGGGUGAUGGAUGCACCAAAAUCUCACAAAUCACCACUAAAGAACUUACUCAUGUAGCCAAAUACUAUCUGCUCUGCAAAAUCCUAUGGAAAUAAAAAAAUAAAAAUAAAAAUAAAUAAAUAAAAUAACAUUUCUACACUUAUUAAAUGAAAAGACAAGUUACCAACUGCAAGAAAAUAUUUGCAAUGCAUACACUUGAGUACAUAUUGUAUAAUUCCAUUCGUAUUAAACUGAUUUUUGCAUAUCAGUCUUAUAUCUUGUGGCCUCACUAAAUUAAAGUAUUAAUUCUAGUAGCUUUGUGUUAGAUUCAUUAGGACUUUUUAAUAUACACAAUCAUGUCACCUAGCCCCAUUUACUUCUUAUUUUUCAACCUCUAUUUUUUUUUUCUUUUUUAGAAACAGGAUCUCAUUCUGUUGCCUAGGCUGGAGUGCAGUGAUGUGAUUAUAGCUCACUGUGGCCUUGAACUCGUGGGCUCAAGCAAUCCUCUCAUCUCAGCCUCCCAAGUAGCUGGGACUACAGGUGCAUGCCACCAUGCCUGGCUAUUUUGUAAAAGCUUUUUGUAGAGACAGGGUCUCACUAUGGUGCCCAGGUUGGUCUCUAACUCCUGACCUCAAGUGAUCUUCCUGCCUCGACCUCCCAAAGUUCUGGGAUUAUAGGCAUAAGCCACCACACCCAGCCCCAAUCUGUAUUUCUUUUCUUCCUUUCUCUUACCUUAUUUCACAAACUAGAUCUCUAAUACAAUGUUGCAUAGAAGUUGUGAAAAUUAAUAUUAAUUUAUUUCUGGACUUAGGAGAAAGUAUAGUCUUUAACCAUUAGGUAUAACUGUAGGUUUUUCAUAGAUUUGCUGUGAUUUACAGAAAACAAUGUAAGAUUCAAAUAUACACAUGCUUAUUUAUUUAUCCCAAUUAUUCACCUGAAUUUAAGGGAAAUAAUCAAAGUGAAGGUCCUCAUUUUGUCUGCACUAGCUUUGCACCUCCCAAGAAAACCAUCAACACCUAGACCCUUCCUCGGACUCUCUUUCUAGAAAACUCUGAUUAAGACAGGUGCCUCCAUCAAGAAUGAAUGAGUGAGAUAAUAUUCAAAAGAAGAUCAUGUUUAAACUGAGCCUGAUCAGAAAUAAAAGUGAAUCAUGUGAGUUAGACAGAGACAGGGAAAUUCCAGAAAGGUGGAAAAAUAAUUACAUGAAAUCCUAGAAUCAUAGAUACACAUGCAGUGUUUAUACCAUUGCCAGUAGUUUUAGUUGACAGGUAUAUUAGAGAAAGAGGUGAGAGAUUAGCUGAGGGAGGAGGAAAGGAAGGAAAUUGAGUUGCUAUGAAAUUCUAAUUUUGUCCAGAAAUAAACAGUUUCAAAUUGAGAUUUAAAAAUAUUUUAAAGAGGAAAAUAAGCUGAUUAUACUUCUAAUUUAGAACAAUCACUAGUAGUUAUCUGAAAGAGAGUAAAUUAAUAGGAGUGGAAAUGGAGACACAAUAUGAGAAAAGACCAUGGCAGACACCAAAGUAACAACUGGUAGGGGCCUGAAGUGAGAC